AGUGGCGAACGGGUGAGUAACACGUGAGCAACCUGCCCCUGACUCUGGGAUAAGCGCUGGAAACGGCGUCUAAUACCGGAUAUGAGCUGCGAUCGCAUGGUCAGCAGUUGGAAAGAUUUUUCGGUCUGGGAUGGGCUCACGGCCUAUCAGCUUGUUGGUGAGGUAAUGGCUCACCAAGGCGUCGACGGGUAGCCGGCCUGAGAGGGUGACCGGCCACACUGGGACUGAGACACGGCCCAGACUCCUACGGGAGGCAGCAGUGGGGAAUAUUGCACAAUGGGCGAAAGCCUGAUGCAGCAACGCCGCGUGAGGGAUGACGGCCUUCGGGUUGUAAACCUCUUUUAGCAGGGAAGAAGCGAAAGUGACGGUACCUGCAGAAAAAGCGCCGGCUAACUACGUGCCAGCAGCCGCGGUAAUACGUAGGGCGCAAGCGUUAUCCGGAAUUAUUGGGCGUAAAGAGCUCGUAGGCGGUUUGUCGCGUCUGCUGUGAAAUCCCGAGGCUCAACCUCGGGUCUGCAGUGGGUACGGGCAGACUAGAGUGCGGUAGGGGAGAUUGGAAUUCCUGGUGUAGCGGUGGAAUGCGCAGAUAUCAGGAGGAACACCGAUGGCGAAGGCAGAUCUCUGGGCCGUUACUGACGCUGAGGAGCGAAAGGGUGGGGAGCAAACAGGCUUAGAUACCCCUGGUAGUCCACCCCGUAAACGUUGGGAACUAGUUGUGGGGUCCAUUCCACGGAUUCCGUGACGCAGCUAACGCAUUAAGUUCCCCGCCUGGGGAGUACGGCCGCAAGGCUAAAACUCAAAGGAAUUGACGGGGACCCGCACAAGCGGCGGAGCAUGCGGAUUAAUUUCGAUGCAACGCGAAGAACCCUUACCAAGGCUUGACAUACACGAGAACGGG
RNAcentral lists this ribosomal RNA (898 nucleotides) under Microbacterium oleivorans. RNAcentral's name for it is "bacterial SSU rRNA". It matches the Rfam family "Bacterial small subunit ribosomal RNA", at positions 94 to 1000 of the family's 1533-position model. Lineage: Bacteria; Bacillati; Actinomycetota; Actinomycetes; Micrococcales; Microbacteriaceae. The record is from RNAcentral.